GACGAACGCUGGCGGCGUGCUUAACACAUGCAAGUCGAACGGAAAGGCCCUGCUUUUGUGGGGUGCUCGAGUGGCGAACGGGUGAGUAACACGUGAGUAACCUGCCCUUGACUUUGGGAUAACUUCAGGAAACUGGGGCUAAUACCGGAUAGGAGCUCCUGCUGCAUGGUGGGGGUUGGAAAGUUUCGGCGGUUGGGGAUGGACUCGCGGCUUAUCAGCUUGUUGGUGGGGUAGUGGCUGACCAAGGCUUGGACGGGUAGCCGGCCUGAGAGGGGGACCGGCCACAUCAGGAUGGAAAUACGACCCAGCCUACUACGGGACGCAGGGGUGGAGAAGAGUACACUAUGGGCGGAAGGCUGGUGCGGCACAGCCGCGUGGGGGAUGACAGCCUUCGGGUUGUGAACCGAUUUCGCCUUUGACGAGGCGUGAGUGACAGUAAUGGGUGAAGAAGCACCGGCUAACUACGUG
This 468-nucleotide ribosomal RNA is filed under the name uncultured bacterium. RNAcentral's name for it is "partial 16S ribosomal RNA". It matches the Rfam family "Bacterial small subunit ribosomal RNA", at positions 28 to 507 of the family's 1533-position model. The record is from RNAcentral.